Long non-coding RNA from Falco peregrinus (peregrine falcon), 4497 nucleotides. RefSeq lists it as uncharacterized. The transcript is spliced from 2 exons. NCBI's taxonomy places the organism in Eukaryota, Metazoa, Chordata, Aves, Falconiformes, Falconidae. The record is from RefSeq and is a predicted model, not a curated record.
AACUAGAUGGGUUGUCUUACUAGAAAUGUGCUGAAAAAAAAUAUGCAAUGGGAGUCAGCAGAAUGACUACCGCUUUCAUUCGGAUCUGGAGCAAGCUGACACUGUUCAAAGGGUUGAGUAGCAUUUCUCAGAAACGAUAAACCGCUGGGACCUAAUAGUCCAUAUGAGAAAGGGGUUAGUAAAGGGCAUCUAAGUGUUUUGGCACUCCUAAGUCUUUACUACCUUUAUUUUCUUGGAAAAGAAGACCAUAUGCUCUCUCCAGAGUCCUCCCCAGGCUUUAUAACAGUCUGAAGUCAGAAGUUGUUGGUUGUAGUUUUUCUCCUGUUUACGGGGAGAUGAGGGCAGUUGCUGGUGUGAGCACUGAAAACCACUUUGGGUACGUUUGAGCAGCGGUUGCACACACGGGAGCCAAUGCUGGCCGUUCUGCUAACAACAUUUGCAAGCAUGGGAUUAUUAGGUUUGGGUAAUUUAGGUAUGUGCCAGGCCAUGAUUUCCAGCCGUGGUGAAGUCCUCUCCCUCUAAAACACAAGCCCACAUCAGACGGGUAAGCAGAAGCACUAAUGCUUGGCCCUUUUUUCUUUACAGUAUCUUGCAAUAAGAUUUUAUUGCUAGUACCCUGUUAAUUACACCCCAUGUUCUCAUUGAGCCUUCCUGAAGAAAUUUUUCUUGCUGUUUCCAAAUAUAUCCAAAAAAUGUGAAACGCAGGCUGUAAACCAGAAGAGCAGCAGACAGUACUGCGCAAUGUUGUUAAAAGAUACUCUGGAUUUCCUAGAGGGAAUGUGCCCUCUUUCUCUUUCCUGUGCUCACUCAGAGCUUGGAGGUUAUUUUUGCUGUUCGAAGACUGAUGAAAGAUUCUUAAAAAGCAACAAAACAGGGAGAGCAAAAAGCCCUGAGGCUGUAACUUAAAUUAUUUGCAAAUCUAGAAUAAGGUUUAAAGCAGGUAGAAGCUCAGCACACCUGCUGGUGGGUACCUGGGGGGGCCCUGCAAGAGCAAAGGGAUGCUGCUGGGCACCAGGGUGGUGCAUGGCCUAUGGUAAAGCCCAUCAGAGACCGCCUUCAUCUUCAGAAGUAGGGAAAAUAUAAAAUAGGGAUGGGACGGAACGGGUUUGUAUUCAGGCUCCGACUCCUUGACCCAUUUUAGUCAGUUGAGCUUCCUUGCUGUUUCAAUAGCAUUGAGUGGGACCCGGCAGGGAAAGUCUGGAGCAUCAUUCCCUGCAUGCCUCAGAUGCUCCUCAGGGUUUGAAGAGCAGGCUGUCAAAGGAAAUCUCUCCACACCAAGCUGGCUAAGGGUGAAGAGACCCUGGGCAUUCCUCACUGGGUCAGAUGAGGCCAUCUAAAAGGUAUUUCAAGAGCAAUUUAUACUCCAAAAGCUGCCAAAAGGCUGAGAAGUCACGCACAAAAGACAACUAUUUUUCCUCUGUUGACUAUAAAGCGGGAGCAUUUAGGACUGGGCUCGGAGCUUAAGGUUAGAAGUGAUAAAUUCCACCUUCUCAGAGCGUCUGUGUCAACUCAGUGUAUCAUUAACAGCUCAAGCAGGAGAAGAGCGAUGCAGAUCGAUCCUGCUAUUAACAUCAAGCCAGAGCGUGGCCCGAACGUGAUCCUCAAAUAAUAGCUGAGCCCACAGCAGCGAUGGAUGGCAACGUCGCAGCCUGCUGACAUCCUUCCUGAGCCCUGAAAAUACAUAUUGAGACCUAUCAGCCCCUGGAAUCACAGUGUAUUAGCAUAAAGAGUGAAUCACAAGCAGUUUAAUUCUGUUACUCAGAAUAACAAGCAAAAUUGAUUACAGGCUCCUAAAAUACUAAUCUCUUAGAGGGAUUUGUCACUCUGUAAGGACAGAGGAUCCCCAAGGUCUGAGGGGUCUCCUGCAGAUGCAAUCUGCAUUUUAACUUCCCUGGUGAGGUCUCACAUUCUAGAGGUGAAACUAGAAGUGAAGGCAGCUGGUUUGCCCUGCCCAGGGUUUCCUUUUGUGCCUUCACAGAGCAAGGACACAGGAUUUCGAGAACACCAAUGGACUCCUCCAGCCUUUGCUCCCCAAAAAUCUGAAAAUUUUCAGAGGGAUGGCCCAGCCAGGCUGUAGGAAGUAAAUUCAUAUUUGCACUUUUAGGAAUGUGAAAACAGAUGUAUAACACAAGUCCCCAGGCUCCCAUGGACCCAUACUGUGUUUCCGAGGGGAGCUAUCUGACAGUGACCAGGGCGAUCUCUAGGUGCCUCCACUCCUAAACCAAGAGCAGCUCUUGAUUCAUGCCCUGGGCAGCCGGGAAUAGCAGCCGUGUCCCUGCAUCACUCCCCUUGGUCGCCUCUCACCUUUAUUACCCCGAGGUCGAUAAUGCGAUUUGUAGGCUGGACUGUUCCCUGGCAACACACUGCUUCAAACUCUUCCUGCAAAAUUUCUCUGCCAUUCAUGUCCAAUCGAGUUCAACAUCAAGUGGCUCUUUUUGCAGCCUGAGUAGGUGUUUGUGUAUUGCCUGCCUUUAAGUAAAUGCGUUCCUAUUAAACAUGUACUGCAGCAUUCAGCCGAGUACAUGUAGUGCAUCAACUGAGAGGAGGGAGGAGCAGCCAGGUCUGCUGUUCUUCAUCAAAAAGCUCUGCUGCAUGAGACACCUGGCCUCCUCACAGGCAGUUCUCACUGCUGUUGUCUUCUCCUCGAACUAGCCAGCCAGGACUACCAAGCUGAGUCACUCCACAACCAACACAGUUACAUUCUUUGGAAAGACAUUGAGGUGCGUUUCAUAGCCAGAAGAUGUUUGAGAAGGGAAAGCUCAUCCGAACAUGUCACAGCACUCUCAAAACUAUCAAGCUGCAACAAGGCUUCUACCACCCCAUACCAGGUUAACUUCAGUAAGUAGUUCCCACACCUUGUCCCAGCACAGUCACCAAUCCCCCACAAGCUUUCAAAAGUUCAUCUACUGUCCAUGCUGUUUCUUCAUCCUCUUCAGGCCAGUCCACCCUACUUCUUGCCUCUGCUGCAUCCUUCUCCUUGUCUCUUCUAUCUCCAGGGCACUCUCUCUUCUGCUUCUUCUAUGUCUCUCCUCAUUCACUGCUCCUCUUCCCUACCCCUUAGAGCUAUUUAACUACUCAGCAGGAACCAGCCACAGCUGCACAUCAUCCACCUCAGCCAACCCACCGCCCCUGAAGCAAGCCCACAGCUGUAUAUUAUCAAUGUAAAUUAACCUGCCUUCAUUCCUCUACAUGAACAUAGGCUCUCCUUUGCCCAGCUCUACCCCAAGCUUCAUAGCUGGUUGAGUUUUUUUGAUUUUCCCACCAUUCAUCAUUUGUAUCAACUUUUUUUAACCAUCUACAAGGUAAGAAACUUGCUCGGCUGGAGCAGCCAAGCUGUGCCAGCUGCAUGCACUGUCAGGGCAGGUGACAACUGCAGAGGCCAGGGGCAGGGUGCAACUUGCACCAGCUUUGUAAAGCAAAUCUCCAUUUGAGUCUGAUGGCAUCACCCCUGCAGCAGCCAAGGGAGAAGUUAAAACCAACAGUUAGUUAGUUUUCUUAUGAGGAAACAGAAUUCCAAACAAGCCACAGGAACUUUGCUUUAGAUGGAUGAAAAUCCUGAGGGAGGGACACAGCAGAAGCCCUGAGGAACCAACAGCUCCCCAGCCAACAUCAGUGGCGCUAACCCCAGGAAGGACCAGGUUUGCUGUGGGAACUGGAGAUACAGGACACCCUCAGGAGCCAAGAGGAGAAAUCUUUCUUCGCUGAUGGAGAUAAGCAUCUUACCUAGCGUUGUAUUGCCACAAACCAUUUGCUGUCGCACUCCAGUACCAAGUACUUGCAACAAAGUUGUCGCAUGUUGUGCUGCAAACAGAUCUAAUGUGAUCCCUACCUAUGCUGAAAACCACAAAAAAAGUUCCAGCUCCUGCUAUGAAAGGCAGCAAUUGGCCUUACACCGAUUUGAAAACAGCUACUGCUCUGUGCUGUGUACCAUGUGAACUGGCAUCCUCGCCAGAGGCUGCUCAUCGUGGGAUUUAAAGCACAGCCAAAGAAAGCUCUCCAAAUCCAAAAUAAUGGAAGUUGACGUGGAUUCAUGACACGCAAAGGGCAGAGAGGUUUCUCUGUCAGGAUUUGGCAUUACACACCAUUAAAAAAAAUAAUAAAAGUCGGGUGUGCAAAAGACUCAUUCGGGAGCCCAGCCACAGUGUCACCUGCCUGUUGGCUGCUGGCCCUGCGUGUCUAAGCCCGGCAGCAGUAAGCAUCUCGGGUAGAAAAUGAAAUGCCAUGGGAAGAGUGCUUUCCUCCCCUGGCGUACCUGCCAUCCUCCUCUGAGCUCAUGCCCUGUCGUACUGCAGUGCGAUGCUCCCACAGCAGAUGAGGCUUUUCACGUUGGUUUUAUGGACUGGGCUGUGUUGUGGUGUUGGUUUCUUUUGUAGCAAAAUUAUGUUAUGGAGCAAGUGCUGGGAAAGCCAAAGAAAACAUUUUUUAUGAGCUGAGCAAAUAUUUUGUUUAUUUGUAGUACAAAUGUUCUUUCUCUGAAUAAAUGCUGAGCUUCCUGCA